GCUACGGGAGGCAGCAGUGAGGAAUAUUGGUCAAUGGGCGAGAGCCUGAACCAGCCAAGUCGCGUGAAGGAUGACGGCCCUACGGGUUGUAAACUUCUUUUGUCAGGGAGCAAUUGGGUCCACGCGUGGGCUUAGCGAGAGUACCUGAAGAAAAAGCAUCGGCUAACUCCGUGACAGCAGCCGCGGUAAUACGGAGGAUGCGAGCGUUAUCCGGAUGGAUUGGGUUUAAAGGGUGCGUAGGCGGAAUAUCAAGUCAGCGGUAAAAAUUCGGGGCUCAACUCCGUCGUGCCGUUGAAACUGAUGUUCUGGAGUGGGCGAGAAGUAUGCGGAAUGCGUGGUGUAGCGGUGAAAUGCAUAGAUAUCACGCAGAACUCCGAUUGCGAAGGCAGCAUACCGGCGCCCAACUGACGCUGAAGCACGAAAGCGUGGGUAUCGAACAGGAUUAGAUACCCUUGUAGUC
This 460-nucleotide ribosomal RNA is filed under the name uncultured bacterium. Its description in RNAcentral is "partial 16S ribosomal RNA". It matches the Rfam family "Bacterial small subunit ribosomal RNA", at positions 338 to 795 of the family's 1533-position model. The record is from RNAcentral.